Molecule: long non-coding RNA, 735 nt
Filed under: Marmota monax (woodchuck)
Lineage: Eukaryota; Metazoa; Chordata; Mammalia; Rodentia; Sciuridae
Source: RNAcentral
GUGGGCAGACUUGACCCCAGUCAAGGCUGCAGACGUGCCCUGAUUUGGAACCCUGUGCUGGUGUCAGUUACACCAGUGGUUUUCAAACUUGAGCUUGUGUCUGGGUCACCUGGAGGGCUUGUUAAAACACAGAGUGCUGGGCUCCCCCAGUUUCUGACUCAGCAGGUCUGGGAUAGGGCCUGGGAAUAUGCAUUUCUAAUAAGUCCCCAGUGGUGUGGCUGCUGCUGCUUGGGAGAAUCAUAGGUCUGCUCCAGGGUCCUACUGUCAACUUGUGAAACGUUCUCUCUUUAGUUCUUUUUGCAAAGAAACAUCAGAUUAGAUGGAAGAAUGAAUGGAAGUUAAAAAAAAAUCAAAAUGACCUACAUGUCCAUCAACUGAUGAGUGGAUAAAUUAUGGGAUAUCCAUACAAGGAAAUAUUAUUAAGCCAUAAAAAGUAAUGAAAUAUUAAUAUACCUUACAAUAUGUGAAUGAUCUUUGAAAACAUGCUAAAUGAAAAAAGCCAGUCACAAAAGCCCACCUAUUAUAUGAAUUAAUUUAAAUGAUAUAUCCAGGCAAAUUCAUAGAGACAGAAAGCAGUUAAUGGUUGCCAGGAGCUGGAAGCAGGGUUGGAACGAGGAGCGACUGCUUAUUGUGCUUCCCAGUAUGAUGAUAAAAACGUUGAACUAAAUAGUGGUGAUGGCUACACCACACUGUGACUGUACCUUUUAGCCCCAAAUUGCAUAUUUUAAAAAUGAC